UACGUAGGGGGCAAGCGUUGUCCGGAAUCAUUGGGCGUAAAGAGCGUGUAGGCGGCCAGAAAAGUCCGCUGUGAAAACUCGAGGCUCAACUCGAGCUGUCGGUGGAAACUUUCUGGGCUAGAGUCCGGAAGAGGAGAAUGGAAUUCCUGGUGUAGCGGUGAAAUGCGCAGAUAUCGAGGAAGAACACCCGUGGCGAAGGCGGUUCUCUGGGACGGUACUGACGCUGAGACGCGAAAGCGUGGGGAGCGAACAGG
RNAcentral lists this ribosomal RNA (254 nucleotides) under uncultured bacterium. Its description in RNAcentral is "partial 16S ribosomal RNA". It matches the Rfam family "Bacterial small subunit ribosomal RNA", at positions 524 to 776 of the family's 1533-position model. The record is from RNAcentral.